CUACGGAGGGUGCAAGCGUUAUUCGAAAUCACUGGGCGUAAAGGGUGCGUAGGCGGUUUGAUAAGUCUGAUGUGAAAUCCUAUGGCUCAACCAUAGAACUGCAUUGGAAACUGUCAGACUAGAAUACUGAAGGGGCAGAUGGAAUUAGUGGUGUAGGGGUAAAAUCCGUAGAUAUCACUAGGAAUACCGAAAGCGAAAGCGAUCUGCUGGGAAGUUAUUGACGCUGAGGCACGAAAGCGUGGGGAGCAAACGGGAUUAGAUACCCUAGUAGUCC
This 274-nucleotide ribosomal RNA is filed under the name uncultured bacterium. RNAcentral's name for it is "partial 16S ribosomal RNA". It matches the Rfam family "Bacterial small subunit ribosomal RNA", at positions 523 to 796 of the family's 1533-position model. The record is from RNAcentral.